This 104-nucleotide small nuclear RNA is filed under the name Ipomoea nil (Japanese morning glory). Lineage: Eukaryota; Viridiplantae; Streptophyta; Magnoliopsida; Solanales; Convolvulaceae. The record is from RNAcentral.
CCUAAAUAUUGUUACCAACCGAUAAAAUUGGAACGAAACAGAGAAGAUUAGCAUGGCCCCUACAUAAGAAUGAUACGCACAAAAAAAAAAAAAAAAAAAAGGCU